GCUUGCUUCUCUUGAGAGCGGCGGACGGGUGAGUAAUGCCUAGGAAUCUGCCUGGUAGUGGGGGAUAACGUUCGGAAACGGACGCUAAUACCGCAUACGUCCUACGGGAGAAAGCAGGGGACCUUCGGGCCUUGCGCUAUCAGAUGAGCCUAGGUCGGAUUAGCUAGUUGGUGAGGUAAUGGCUCACCAAGGCGACGAUCCGUAACUGGUCUGAGAGGAUGAUCAGUCACACUGGAACUGAGACACGGUCCAGACUCCUACGGGAGGCAGCAGUGGGGAAUAUUGGACAAUGGGCGAAAGCCUGAUCCAGCCAUGCCGCGUGUGUGAAGAAGGUCUUCGGAUUGUAAAGCACUUUAAGUUGGGAGGAAGGGCAGUUACCUAAUACGUGAUUGUUUUGACGUUACCGACAGAAUAAGCACCGGCUAACUCUGUGCCAGCAGCCGCGGUAAUACAGAGGGUGCAAGCGUUAAUCGGAAUUACUGGGCGUAAAGCGCGCGUAGGUGGUUAGUUAAGUUGGAUGUGAAAUCCCCGGGCUCAACCUGGGAACUGCAUUCAAAACUGACUGACUAGAGUAUGGUAGAGG
This 583-nucleotide ribosomal RNA is filed under the name Pseudomonas sp. RNAcentral describes it as "bacterial SSU rRNA". It matches the Rfam family "Bacterial small subunit ribosomal RNA", at positions 78 to 657 of the family's 1533-position model. Lineage: Bacteria; Pseudomonadati; Pseudomonadota; Gammaproteobacteria; Pseudomonadales; Pseudomonadaceae. The record is from RNAcentral.